This is a long non-coding RNA of Pocillopora damicornis (cauliflower coral), 1341 nucleotides long. RefSeq lists it as uncharacterized. Lineage: Eukaryota; Metazoa; Cnidaria; Anthozoa; Scleractinia; Pocilloporidae. The record is from RefSeq and is a predicted model, not a curated record.
AUUAAUAAUCCAACGCAAUAAUUACGUCAGUUUCUUGCGUGGGUUUCUGUUGCCUUUAAAGACAAGCAUGCACAUAAUGCUGUUUGUCUUAAGAACUAAUUUUAUUCCUGUUUCUGGAGGAGUUUUUGUUCCCAUUUCUAGUUUUAAAUUGUUCUUGCGUCGUAUCAAAAGUUGUUUGUGACAGCUUUUUACUCUCUUCUGUUUUUUCCUUUGGGUCACUCAUCUCUAAUCUUCUACAUCUAUUCCGAGCGUAAGCCUUGCUUAAAUCCAUAGGAAACAGUCUUAAUUCGUCCUACCCACAAAUGAAAUUAUUUAUAGAAGGGAUCUUUUUAACUAAUCAUGCGAAGACAAGUGCUUUGCAUUAGCUGCAAACGUUCGCACGUCAUAACUGUACGUAACACCCGACAGGUGGAAUUCGAGGAGAACCUUCUAUUUCAUUCUUAAAAUUUUUGAGAGUCCAUGUGUACUUAGCGAAGAAAACAAAACAAAACGGUGUUCAUUUUAGAAACGGAACAACUUGUUUCGGUUCAUUGACUACGCAGGCGACUGCCACGCUAAGCUGUUUCAUGGAUCAGCUCCUACGCAUCAAUUAAGUGUCAGCAGUUUUGUGUGUGUUGCAUAUGCUUCGCUCGCUGCAUUUGUUAAUUUUUCCGUAAUGAAAGUUUCUUUCCGAAGCAAGUCUGUGCAUUGCCUUGCCAGAAAAGAAGUUGUUGGGAUUUUACAAAAAUAUUAUUGUCUUGAUGGAUCAUGAAAAGAAGCAGCCGACGGAAAUAAAUGCAUCGGCGAUUUAGUCAUCGAGGAUAAAGACACAGAAAGCAAGAUGGAAAUCGAGAACCGAGAAGAAGAGGCCGGCUUAGUUACUAAACAUGCAGGUUUUCAAUAUGGGCUAAGCCCUUUCGCUAUCAAGAUCUAAGGGCUUAUUCUCCUUACUAAUUUCCACAUAUUUGUUUGCUGGUGGCUAAUGAGAAUUUGGUUUUACAUAAGGUCGAAUUGACGAAACAUUUUUCGAAUUCUCAUUACCUCAAAGGUCUGGUCUAAAUGGUGUUUGAAAAAUAUUAAGAAUGAUAUAUUUGAUAAAGACUCAGAGCAGCAAGAGGAAAAGUAGUGAAAUAGCAGUGAAACCCUGCAGUUUCUCGCUGUGAUUGAAGAAGGAUAUCAACUAGUUAUGCAAGAAAAAAUAAUUUUACGAAAGCAUUUUAAUAGUUGAGAACAUUUGUUUAAGUAACAACUAGUGUCACCUUUGAUUUGAGCUAUAGAUCAUCCAUACUGUUUAAACUGAACUAUCCCCAAGCAAGAUAUCAUGGUAUCGAAUCCAAAAUAUAAAGAAUCACCUAACAAUAA